CAGCACCUCAAGUGGUCAGGAUGAUUAUUGGGCCUAAAGCAUCCGUAGCCGGCGCUGUAAGUUUUCGGUUAAAUCUGUACGCUCAACGUACAGGCUGCCGGGAAUACUGCAGCGCUAGGGAGUGGGAGAGGUAGACGGUACUCGGUAGGAAGGGGUAAAACCCUUUGAUCUAUUGAUGACCACCUGUGGCGAAGGCGGUCUACCAGAACACGUCCGACGGUGAGGGAUGAAAGCUGGGGGAGCAAACCGGAUUAGAUACCCGAGUAGUCC
This 270-nucleotide ribosomal RNA is filed under the name uncultured archaeon. RNAcentral describes it as "partial 16S ribosomal RNA". It matches the Rfam family "Archaeal small subunit ribosomal RNA", at positions 477 to 747 of the family's 1478-position model. The record is from RNAcentral.